AUAGGAAUCUAGAGAAGCGGAGUGUUUUCCGCACUCGAGAGGAAAGAGGUUGCAGGGAACUUAGAGACUAAUCUUUGCCAACAUACUGGAUUUCUGGUGAUGACAAUAGCAGCAGAUAGUAUGCGGCUCAGUUAAUACUAAAAACAAUUGAUUUUAGUAAUUAGUGGACUAUGAGUGUGUGUUUGGCCAUCCAGAUUUCAUAACUAAAACUGAUGUUCAAUUACAAGAGAUAUUAAUCAGUCUCCGUGGACUAUACACUGUGCCUAGUUUCAUCCUCAGAGACUGAUGUGUAAGCUUAAAGUAAAGACAUCAAAUCAAGGU
This is a long non-coding RNA of Physella acuta, 321 nucleotides long. RefSeq lists it as uncharacterized. Lineage: Eukaryota; Metazoa; Mollusca; Gastropoda; Physidae. The record is from RefSeq and is a predicted model, not a curated record.